Molecule: transfer RNA, 69 nt
Filed under: Parageobacillus toebii
Lineage: Bacteria; Bacillati; Bacillota; Bacilli; Caryophanales; Anoxybacillaceae
Also listed under: 1 other name
Description: tRNA-Glu
Rfam family: tRNA
About the family: Transfer RNA (tRNA) molecules are approximately 80 nucleotides in length. Their secondary structure includes four short double-helical elements and three loops (D, anti-codon, and T loops).
Source: RNAcentral
GGCCCGUUGGUCAAGUGGUUAAGACACCGCCCUUUCACGGCGGUAACACGGGUUCGAAUCCCGUACGGG